Molecule: ribosomal RNA, 466 nt
Filed under: uncultured bacterium
Lineage: Bacteria
Description: partial 16S ribosomal RNA
Rfam family: Bacterial small subunit ribosomal RNA
Source: RNAcentral
GAUGAACGCUGGCGGCGUGCUUAACACAUGCAAGUCGAACGAUGAAGCCCAGCUUGCUGGGUGGAUUAGUGGCGAACGGGUGAGUAACACGUGAGUAACCUGCCCUUAACUCUGGGAUAAGCCUGGGAAACUGGGUCUAAUACCGGAUAGGAGCGUCCACCGCAUGGUGGGUGUUGGAAAGAUUUAUCGGUUUUGGAUGGACUCGCGGCCUAUCAGCUUGUUGGUGAGGUAAUGGCUCACCAAGGCGACGACGGGUAGCCGGCCUGAGAGGGUGACCGGCCACACUGGGACUGAGACACGGCCCAGACUCCUACGGGAGGCAGCAGCGGGGAAUAUUGCACAAUGGGCGAAAGCCUGAUGCAGCGACGCCGCGUGAGGGAUGACGGCCUUCGGGUUGUAAACCUCUUUCAGUAGGGAAGAAGCGAAAGUGACGGUACCUGCAGAAGAAGCACCGGCUAACUACGUG